CCUGAGUAUUUUUUCUGUAUUUUUGCUUACCCUCAAGAUGUCUGUACACCUUACGACUGCCAUCCACCAAUGACAAACUCAUUUAUCACUGCACAACUCCUAAGUGACAGAGGGGGACAAAUUAAAAUGAGUAUAUCAGUCAAUGUCCUCCCUGAAAAAAAAAGAACUUGAUAUCCGACACAUUUAUGUACAUUUUUAAAUUGCAUGGCAGUACUACUUUAAAAUUCACAUUUUCAGUAUGACUUUACUAACGUAACAUCAUAUACCUCUGUUUUCAACAGAUUUUCAGACAAGCACGGUUACAACAACUGUAGACUGAGAAUGGCAUCCUCUCCGUAUAGCUGCCCCAGUCCCAUCAGGGUCAAGUGUGUGCUUAACCACAAAAACCCUCAAUUUUAUGCUUGUAGAUGGGGAAAUUAGGCCGGGCACUCAAGUGAUCACUUACCUUAGUACACUGUCCACAGGUGGUCAGGUGUAUGUCACGCAGUCCUCUUCAGACAGGGCUGCCUUUGAAGAGGGCGUGACAUACUAUAUAAAAAACUACACCGUGUCCUCAAGAUAUGGGCAGGAACGUCUGUUCAUGGGUCCGAACACAACGACCUACAAAAGCGCUCCCCUCACACUGAGCUUUGAUGCAGAGAAGAUGGCCAAAGACGCCCUGGUUCCACCAUCUGUCUCAGUGACUGGGGAUGAGCAGGACCUCUUCUCAAGAGGGGGCCACUUAACUCAGGAAGGAACUGUGGAACAUAUGCAGGUUCCAAGGAUGACGACUGUGAGGGACACAGAAGUCCCCAUCUUGGACGUGGGGAUCAAAAGCGGCUCCAGGAUCCUUGAGGUGUCCUUAUGGCGGGACCAGGCCUUGUCCAAGCUCAGAAUUAAUGAUAAGGUGAACAUAUGUCACCUUCGAGCAAGCGCCAAGGCCACCAAGUUAAAUUCACAACUGUGGAGGUUUUGGAGCAGGCACCAGUGGUGGAGGACAUCGUGGUGAUUGGCUUGUCCGAAGCCAAUGGUGAGGUCUCCUUACUCGCUGAGGACUUCAGUGAAUACACGGCACCUCCUGAGCUGCUUGAAGGGAGUGUAGAAGAGCUCCUGUGCCAGCUUCCACUUCAUUUAGAAGUAAUGCAUGAGCACAGAAAAAUUUAAAAAAUUAAUUAUGUUGAUUAAAUGUAAGUUUUUAGUUGUGUGAAA
Long non-coding RNA from Cyprinus carpio carpio, 1188 nucleotides. Lineage: Eukaryota; Metazoa; Chordata; Actinopteri; Cypriniformes; Cyprinidae. The record is from Ensembl.